Molecule: long non-coding RNA, 804 nt
Organism: Asparagus officinalis (garden asparagus)
Lineage: Eukaryota; Viridiplantae; Streptophyta; Magnoliopsida; Asparagales; Asparagaceae
Exons: 2
Source: RefSeq, a predicted model, not a curated record
AAACUUUAGUGCAACUAUCCCCCAAUACUGUAGAAACCCACUAUCCAAUAAAGCUAUUUCAAAAUUACCCUUCCUAUUUAAAAUAAAAAAAACCACAUCCUCUGCAACUACUUUUCUUAUCACCCUCUUCUUCUCAAGAUCUCUCUUCUUCUCAAGAUCGCACUCCUCCACCGCCAACAACGAGGAUCCCGACCGCUGACAGCGCAAGCUGUCCAUCGUCGACCCCUACAGCUUUGAUCCAUCUUCGUCGACGCUCCUUGAUUGUCUUCGCUCCAUCGUCACCCCCUACGGCCAGAAUAAGAAAGCUCGUCAUCGUCUUCGCUCCGACAAGGACCCCGCUAACUGCAAGCUCGACGUCUGCAGCCUCGGCUACCAGUACCGACCCCAAGUCCCUCUUCAUCAUCCGAUUUUUGUUUCUUUUUCUAAUUAAUUUCUUUCUCAUUGCAGACUGCGCAAAAUCACCCUCAAGGUACGAUUAUGGCAUACAUACAUAUUUAUACAUCAAAGUGAUUCUAGAAUGAAAGGAGGCCAUAGAUAUUGAAGCUUUACAAACGGAGUCUGAAAUGUUAAGGGCAUGACUUGCUGCUCAAAUUAUAUGUGAAGGCUGAGAAUUAAGAAGCUGUGAUUGAAGUUAGAUGUAGAUAAUCCUGAAUAUCUUUUAUAUUUUGGAGAUAAUGAUAUCCAAUUGAUUGAGUAGAAGUAUUAGACAAACACGUACAUCAUAAUUCUAUGUUGGAUAUGACUAAUUUCUUUGUAAAUUUUGAGACUUAUGGUGACAAUGAUGAAAUGUGCAUUUGUGAUUAC